GCUAACUCCGUGCCAGCAGGCGCGUUAAUGCGGAGGUGCCAGGCGUUAUCCGGAAUCAUUGGGUUUAAAGGGUCCGUAGGUGGCCUUAUAAGUCAGCGGUGAAAGUUGUUGGCUUAACCAAAAAAUUGCCAUUGAUACUGUAGGGCUUGAAUUAUUGUGAAGUAACGAGAAUAUGUAGUGUAGCGGUGAAAUGCUUAGAUAUUACAUGGAAUACCAAUUGCGAAGGCAGGUUACUAACAAUGGAUUGACGCUGAUGGACGAAAGCGUGGGUAGCGAACAGGAUUAGAUACCCCUGUAGUC
Molecule: ribosomal RNA, 300 nt
Filed under: uncultured Halococcus sp.
Lineage: Archaea; Methanobacteriati; Methanobacteriota; Halobacteria; Halobacteriales; Halococcaceae
Description: bacterial SSU rRNA
Rfam family: Bacterial small subunit ribosomal RNA
Source: RNAcentral